Molecule: unclassified non-coding RNA, 1150 nt
Filed under: Nilaparvata lugens (brown planthopper)
Lineage: Eukaryota; Metazoa; Arthropoda; Insecta; Hemiptera; Delphacidae
Description: uncharacterized LOC120348771, transcript variant X1
Source: RNAcentral
UCUAGCAGAACUCUGUCUGUCUUGUCUUGUCAAAUCAACAACAGAACUGUUAAUUUUUAGAAGUUUCCUUGAUAAUAAUAAAUCCUUGUAAUUCUAAAGUAUAUCUGUUCAAAAUUACAGUUUUCAACAUAAUUUUAUAGUUUCUAAUUACGUGAAUGUGCUAUUAGUGCUACAUUUAUCUGACUUCACAAACGUAAGUGCUCUUGACUCAUGACAAUUGAACUGAUGUGCUAAAAAGUAGGCCUAGUUGACUGAAUUUUCGUUCUAUCUACAUUUUAGGUGCGUCAGCAACGCAUCGAUUGGAGCUUGGCUACUGAUUCACUCCUGUCAUGGACCACAGCAAACAAGUAUGCCACUUGACAGGUAUGGACCAACAAAUUAGUGGAGAAGAUACUUGACGAGUUCUGCAAUGUAUUGAUGAAGCCAGAUUGCUGGAGGUUGAGAUACAUGGAUGCUGAUUUAUGAGUUUGCCAUCCUGAUGUGACUUGAGUCAUGGACCAGAGCAGAGCCUUCACGUGUGCUUGUUGACAACAGCUGUGAGCAGAGUGAGACAGAACAAGAGAGGAGCUGUAGAUCAUCACAGCAUGUCUGCGGAACAUUUGAGCAAGCGAAGUGAGUUCUCACCAUCUGAGAUCAUCACUCUGUCGCCGCGCGAAGUGAGUUCUCAUCCCCUGUUGCAGUCUCCAUUCACCUGGAUUGCGCGAGUGUUGAAAUGUUGGAAGCUGGCAGAGGAAGGAAUGUUGCUAGCCUACUUUGAGGGUCAACUUCUCCCACUCAUCAUCAAUGGACAUUUCACUCACUCACAGUACUCGAGGAACGCGAGUUGGCAGUCACAUAAACUCUGGCAUUUAAAGACAUUCUUUUCAUGUUAUCAAAUUGUUCGUCAUUAUAUGAUGCAUACGUUCAUCUUUUGAUUUUAUGUUUUAUUCAUCAGUAAUGAAUGAAAACUCAUGCUCUGUUUUUAAAAUAAUGUAGUUUUCGUUUAUAUUUUAUGAUUUAUUCAUUCAUCUUAUUAUUUUGUGUUUUAUUCAUAAGUAAUAAACUAACAUUUUCUGUUUAAUAUCAUGUAGUUUCCAUUUUUAUAUUAUCCAUUUGUUUAUUAUUUUGAAGGUAUAUUCCAUGUGGGGCCUUCUGAGUGUAGCCUUAUUAU